This 889-nucleotide long non-coding RNA is filed under the name Mus caroli (Ryukyu mouse). RNAcentral's name for it is "lncRNA (MGP_CAROLIEiJ_G0005972.1)". Lineage: Eukaryota; Metazoa; Chordata; Mammalia; Rodentia; Muridae. The record is from RNAcentral.
AAACCAGACUGCAAUGAGCUGUGAGGACCUGAAGACCAGGGUACAUUGUCCCUAUCCUGGGGACCAGAGUACAUUGUCCCUGUCCUGGGGCCUGGGUGUGCUUUGCAGAGCGCUGGGAACAGGAUGCUCAGCUUAUUAUUCCCUUAUCUCCCGGCCAGGACUGCAUUAAUCAUCUUAGACCUCACUGGGCAUCAGCUCACUCUGGUUUCUGCCUCUGCAGGAGCUGCACGCAGAGGCAUGAGUGCUGGGGCGUGGACGCUCAGCCAUCUCUGCACUCCAGUCUCCGGCAUACCACACCCCGACUCUGUUCUGCACCCAGAGUGGAAGCCUGCUGGAGUCUUGCGUGCUGCGCCAGCUUUGACUUUCAGCUGGAGGAGGAUGCAGUGUGGCGGCCGCCCCAGACUGGCCACGGUCUCUGAUGGGAAAGGUGACCCUGAGGUGUCCCUGUCACCAAGUCUUUCUCCAAGCUGAGUUGGCAGCUGGAUUAAUGGAAGAAGACCCCAGUGAUGUGCCCAGGCAUCUCUGUCUUCAGUUCCCUCUCAGAGGACAUAUUUUCUUUAGUGGCUUGCACAUAGACAUAGGCUCAAUUUAAAAACGAUUUAUUUAUUUUUUUAUUUAUGUGUAUUGGGUGUUUUGCCCUCAUGGAUAUCUGUGAACCAUGUGUGCAAUUCCCACAGAGGCCACGAGAGGGCAGCAGGUUCCCCUGGAACUGGAGUUGCAGAUGGUUCUGUGUUACCAAGUGGCGCUGGGAAGGAGUCUGCAUCCUUUGGGAGAGUGGCCACAAUGCUCUUAACCUCUGCCCAGCCCCAGAUGUGAGCCUGGUCACACCAACCCCAGCACCGUUCCUUAGAGUCAGGUCUCCCUGCUCCCACUUUAAACAGUCUUCUGU